Molecule: ribosomal RNA, 469 nt
Filed under: uncultured bacterium
Lineage: Bacteria
Description: bacterial SSU rRNA
Rfam family: Bacterial small subunit ribosomal RNA
Source: RNAcentral
AGUUUGAUCCUGGCUCAGAACGAACGCUGGCGGCAGGCUUAACACAUGCAAGUCGAGCGCAUCCUUCGGGGUGAGCGGCGGACGGGUGAGUAACGCGUGGGAACGUGCCUUUUGCUACGGAAUAGCCUCGGGAAACUGAGAUUAAUGCCGUAUGUGCCCUUCGGGGGAAAGAUUUAUCGGCAAGAGAUCGGCCCGCGUCUGAUUAGGUAGUUGGUGGGGUAAUGGCCUACCAAGCCUACGAUCAGUAGCUGGUUUGAGAGGAUGAUCAGCCACACUGGGACUGAGACACGGCCCAGACUCCUACGGGAGGCAGCAGUGGGGAAUCUUGGACAAUGGGGGCAACCCUGAUCCAGCCAUGCCGCGUGAAUGAUGAAGGUCUUAGGACUGUAAAGUUCUUUCAGUGGGGAAGAUAAUGACGGUACCCACAGAAGAAGCCCCGGCUAACUCCGUGCCAGCAGCCGCGGUAAUA